Molecule: ribosomal RNA, 450 nt
Filed under: Streptococcus sp. oral taxon 064
Lineage: Bacteria; Bacillati; Bacillota; Bacilli; Lactobacillales; Streptococcaceae
Description: bacterial SSU rRNA
Rfam family: Bacterial small subunit ribosomal RNA
Source: RNAcentral
GACGAACGCUGGCGGCGUGCCUAAUACAUGCAAGUAGAACGCUGAAGGAGGAGCUUGCUCUUCUGGAUGAGUUGCGAACGGGUGAGUAACGCGUAGGUAACCUGCCUGGUAGCGGGGGAUAACUAUUGGAAACGAUAGCUAAUACCGCAUAAUAGUAGAUGUUGCAUGACAUUUACUUAAAAGGUGCAAUUGCAUCACUACCAGAUGGACCUGCGUUGUAUUAGCUAGUUGGUGGGGUAACGGCUCACCAAGGCGACGAUACAUAGCCGACCUGAGAGGGUGAUCGGCCACACUGGGACUGAGACACGGCCCAGACUCCUACGGGAGGCAGCAGUAGGGAAUCUUCGGCAAUGGACGGAAGUCUGACCGAGCAACGCCGCGUGAGUGAAGAAGGUUUUCGGAUCGUAAAGCUCUGUUGUAAGAGAAGAACGAGUGUGAGAGUGGAAAGUU